GACGAACGCUGGCGGUGUGCUUCACACAUGCAAGUCGAACGGGGUAGCAAUACCCAGUGGCGGACGGGUGAGUAACGCGUAGAAAUCUGCCCUUGAGAUGGGGGAUAACAGUCCGAAAGGACUGCUAAUACCGCAUAUGUAUGUAUCUCGACAGAGGUGUAUAUGAAAGGAGUAAUCCGUCUUAAGAUGAGUCUGCGUCCGAUUAGCUAGUUGGUAGGUAAAGGCCUACCAAGGCGACGAUCGGUAGCUGGUCUGAGAGGAUGAUCAGCCACAAUGGGACUGAGACACGGCCCACACUCCUACGGGAGGCAGCAGUGGGAAUUUUGUGCAAUGGGGGAAACCCUGACACAGCGACACCGCGUGAG
Molecule: ribosomal RNA, 365 nt
Filed under: uncultured bacterium
Lineage: Bacteria
Description: bacterial SSU rRNA
Rfam family: Bacterial small subunit ribosomal RNA
Source: RNAcentral